CAUGUGGGGCAAGCGUUGUUCGGAAUUACUGGGCAUAAAGGGUGCGUAGGUGGCUUGUUAAGUCAGGGGUGAAAGUUUUCGGCCCAACCGGAAAAUGGCCUUUGAUACUGGCGAGCUCGAGUGCGUGAGGGGUAACCGGAACGAGCAGUGUAGCGGUGAAAUGCGUAGAUAUUGCUCGGAAGGCCAACGGCGAAGGCAAGUUACUGGUGCGCAACUGACACUGAGGCACGAAAGCGUGGGGAGCAAACAGGAUUAGAUACCCUGGUAGUCCACGCCGUAAACGAUGAGCACUAGGUAGGUGCCGAGCUAUUCGGUGCCUGCCGCAGGUAAUUUGGUAAGUGCUCCGCCUGGGGAGUAUGGUCGCAAGGCUG
This 371-nucleotide ribosomal RNA is filed under the name uncultured organism. Its description in RNAcentral is "bacterial SSU rRNA". It matches the Rfam family "Bacterial small subunit ribosomal RNA", at positions 526 to 896 of the family's 1533-position model. The record is from RNAcentral.